Molecule: ribosomal RNA, 495 nt
Filed under: uncultured bacterium
Lineage: Bacteria
Description: partial 16S ribosomal RNA
Rfam family: Bacterial small subunit ribosomal RNA
Source: RNAcentral
GACGAACGCUGGCGGCGUGCCUAAUACAUGCAAGUAGAACGCUGAAGGAGGAGCUUGCUUCUCCGGAUGAGUUGCGAACGGGUGAGUAACGCGUAGGUAACCUGCCUGGUAGCGGGGGAUAACUAUUGGAAACGAUAGCUAAUACCGCAUAACAGUAGAUAUUGCAUGAUAUCUGCUUGAAAGGUGCAAUUGCCUCACUACCAGAUGGACAUGCGUUGUAUUAGCUAGUUGGUGGGGUAACGGCUCACCAAGGCGACGAUACAUAGCCGACCUGAGAGGGUGAUCGGCCACACUGGGACUGAGACACGGCCCAGACUCCUACGGGAGGCAGCAGUAGGGAAUCUUCGGCAAUGGACGGAAGUCUGACCGAGCAACGCCGCGGGAGUGAAGAAGGUUUUCGGAUCGUAAAGCUCUGUUGUAAGAGAAGAACGAGUGUGAGAGUGGAAAGUUCACACUGUGACGGUAGCUUACCAGAAAGGGACGGCUAACUACGUG